Anopheles gambiae (African malaria mosquito) is the source of this 785-nucleotide long non-coding RNA. RefSeq lists it as uncharacterized. Lineage: Eukaryota; Metazoa; Arthropoda; Insecta; Diptera; Culicidae. The transcript has 3 exons. The record is from RefSeq and is a predicted model, not a curated record.
UCACCCCUCCCGACAAUGGCACUCAAAUUCUCUCAUUUUCUCAUGCCCUCUCUGUCACAUUCGUAGCUCGAUCUCCCUCUUCUGGGACUUAGCGUUCUGAGCAUGCGGUUUUUGCAACGGUCAUUUCGUGCCGCUUCGAUCUCAUCACCUUCUUUCCCCUCCCACCCCUCUUUUUGAUCCCCGCUUUGGGGCUUGCAAAUUUUUGACAUGUCAAAUGAGAGUGAAGCUAAAAUGUAAACAACAAGUGUUCGCGUGUGCCGUGAUUUUAAUAAACAUAAAAUCAACCACGGAAGUAUGGUUUAGUUGUGGUGGAAGCGAAAAAAAAUGCUUGGAGCAUGGAAUAAAACCGGAUGAAAUUUCUAGCCUUCACGCACGAUGCCGACGCUGAGGUAAGGUGUGCUUGUGUUUAAUUUCGAUGAUUGUUUCAUUUUAGGGUGUGCUCCACAGCUAGUAGCUCCCACAUUCGAACCGCUCAUGGUAACCUGCAAUUAUGUUAUUUUUAGUUUUUCAUUUAGUUUCAAUGUAAAGUAAUAGUUGAAAAACAUACAAUUUGAUUUCAUCCAACUUACAGGUUUUACAGGUGAACAACAAUUAGCAACUCCCGAUCGAAUUGCACACAACAACCACCCACAAUCACAGCUGUAAAAGUAACACGGAUAGGUAGCAAGGAAAUCAAGCUUGUACACAGAAAUCUACACAAAAACUGGGUUUUAUAAGCGCACGAAAAGCGACGCGGCUAUCUUUGAAUAAAAAGUAAACAAAAGAGUUUCGUUUUAAUUUAAUUU